This 74-nucleotide transfer RNA is filed under the name Micavibrio aeruginosavorus. Its description in RNAcentral is "tRNA-Cys". It matches the Rfam family "tRNA". From Rfam's summary of the family: Transfer RNA (tRNA) molecules are approximately 80 nucleotides in length. Their secondary structure includes four short double-helical elements and three loops (D, anti-codon, and T loops). The record is from RNAcentral. Lineage: Bacteria; Pseudomonadati; Bdellovibrionota; Bdellovibrionia; Bdellovibrionales; Pseudobdellovibrionaceae. RNAcentral also lists the same sequence under 1 other name.
GGCGCGAUGUCAGAGCGGUUAUGUAGAGGACUGCAAAUCCUUGUAGGCGGGUUCGACUCCCGCUCGUGCCUCCA